CCAUAACUUCUCAAAUUUCCAUUAUAAAUGUCAAUAAUAUUUUACAUGGCUUGAUAUUGAUCGCUUCAAACAAUUGGAUUACUGGAGUGGUAAAGCAAUAGCUAUUUAAUACGACUACUUUUCUGACCGUUUAAAUAACGACUAAAAUAUAUCUACAAGAUCCUUACCACUGAAUCAUACCUUACAAACCUAUAUCUGUCAGAUUACAAUAUUAUACUUUAUGACAAAUACAAUACAUCUGUGAAAUACACAGAAAAGAAAUAUCAACAUACAAAAUAAAUAAAACGCACAAAGACAAGAAAAUGAUGAAAAUAGCCUAAUUUCCACGUAGGCACCGUUCAAAUAUUUUAGAGUGUAAGUAAA
This is a long non-coding RNA of Plodia interpunctella (Indianmeal moth), 363 nucleotides long. RefSeq lists it as uncharacterized. The transcript is spliced from 2 exons. The record is from RefSeq and is a predicted model, not a curated record. NCBI's taxonomy places the organism in Eukaryota, Metazoa, Arthropoda, Insecta, Lepidoptera, Pyralidae.